Molecule: ribosomal RNA, 253 nt
Filed under: uncultured bacterium
Lineage: Bacteria
Description: partial 16S ribosomal RNA
Rfam family: Bacterial small subunit ribosomal RNA
Source: RNAcentral
UACAGUGGUCUCAAGCGUUGUUCGGAAUCACUGGGCGUAAAGGGUGAGUAGGCUGCAUGGUAAGUCAGAUGUGAAAUCCGAAAGCUCAACUUUCGAAAUGCAUCCGAUACUGCAAUGCUAGAGAUAUGUAAGGGGGCCUGGAAUUCUCGGUGUAGCAGUGAAAUGCGUAGAUAUCGAGAAGAACACUUGUGGCGAAAGCGGGGCCCUGGGCAUAUUCUGACGCUGAGUCACGAAGGCUAGGGGAGCGAACGGG